GAUGAACGCUGGUGGCGUGCCUAAUACAUGCAAGUCGAGCGAACAGACGAGAAGCUUGCUUCUCUGAUGUUAGCGGCGGACGGGUGAGUAACACGUGGAUAACCUACCUAUAAGACUGGGAUAACUUCGGGAAACCGGAGCUAAUACCGGAUAAUAUUUUGAACCGCAUGGUUCAAAAGUGAAAGACGGUCUUGCUGUCACUUAUAGAUGGAUCCGCGCUGCAUUAGCUAGUUGGUAAGGUAACGGCUUACCAAGGCAACGAUGCAUAGCCGACCUGAGAGGGUGAUCGGCCACACUGGAACUGAGACACGGUCCAGACUCCUACGGGAGGCAGCAGUAGGGAAUCUUCCGCAAUGGGCGAAAGCCUGACGGAGCAACGCCGCGUGAGUGAUGAAGGUCUUCGGAUCGUAAAACUCUGUUAUUAGGGAAGAACAUAUGUGUAAGUAACUGUGCACAUCUUGACGGUACCUAAUCAGAAAGCCACGGCUAACUACGUG
This 497-nucleotide ribosomal RNA is filed under the name uncultured bacterium. RNAcentral describes it as "partial 16S ribosomal RNA". It matches the Rfam family "Bacterial small subunit ribosomal RNA", at positions 28 to 507 of the family's 1533-position model. The record is from RNAcentral.